AACAACAGCAAUAAAAUGGAGGGCAAGUUCUCUGAGAAUCAUAUAUUUGGAAUUAAAUGUCGGAUAAUCACAUAAUUAACAACAACAAAUAAACAUGGCUACAAUAGCAACAACAUACCAAACCUGCUUAUCUUAUUUCCCCGGACAAGCCAAGCCUACCUCAACUUCUCCCAUAUCAAUACAAACUUGGAAUUUUAUGACACGAAUGAAAGCAAUGUGAUUUUUGCUUCUUGCUUCCUCUCACAUUGCGCACGUAUAUAUACAAACUGAUACAGCAGCAUCAAUGGAGAAUAGCCUAAAUAAAUAAUUCAUCUUCCUUGGAUUCAUCCAAACUACACAUCAAUAGCCUGUGCAACAGACUUUGUGAGGUUCGAGUCACCUUUUCCAUUUAAGUUCGGCUUGUACCUCGCAGGUUUAUGAGAACCUCCUGUCCCUUUACCUGCAAUUCUGCCAUGCCUCGCUGCUUGACCCCCAGCACCUCCCCCACCAUUAGGCAGAGACAACCUCUUCUUUGCCUGUUUAUCUGAUUGUAUUAACCUCUCUUUUGGGUUGCUGUGAGAUCUUUGAACAAGGCCAGGUCUUGAGUUUGCUUCUUCAACCAGAUCUUCAAGAACUGGCUUCACCUUUGGCUUCGCAAAAACUGUGUUUGAUGCAUCUAGCUUGCUAGGAGAAGUACUAAUUCCAUCAGAAUUAGAUGGACCUGUCUUCUGACUUGAAAGGUUUGACUGCCGACUAGAUACAACUGGUUUCUUGCCAGCAGACUUUAUCUGUGGUUUGGUGCCAUUGUUACCAUCUGCUGUUCCAUUUUCAUGAAUCAUGACCUCAUCUUUCAGAUUUAUGUCAAGAAACCGAUUCUCCCAUGGACGGACAGCCAUCCAUCUCUCCAACCAGUUCCAUCCCCAACUGCUUUUAUCUGGUUCAAACCCAGCAGGAGCAGCCUGCUGUCUUGAUCCCGCCUGCCACUGAUGAGCCAAAGCAUAUGCCAUGGCUCUCUCACGCUUAGCUGCUGCCUCCUGCCUCUUUAGCAAUUUGGCUUGAAUUUGUUCAACUGAUCCUACACUGUCACACCACCCGUCCUCUAUUUCUCGAACCCAAGCCUCAUUUGCAAGUUGUUGCUGAAGUUUUUGUUGAGCUGUUUCACUUUCUAAUGCUAAGCGAACACGCCUUGCUCGAAUGCGCGCCUGAACUCUCACCAAAGCUUGCAUGCAGCGAAGAGUUAUUGCAGCCUGCUUUCUCACAGCAUGACCCCUUACAAGUGCUUGUAGUCUAACUAAUCCUUUUAACGCUCGUAGAGCUCUUCUAGCCUGAUACAUUUUCAAUUUUCAAAAGUAAGGGCUCCCAAUAAUUCAAAUACUUCCAAAAACAAUGUUUACAGAACCAGAAUAAAUUGAAGCCCACAAGAUACAUCUGAUGCUGUCAUAUUAAAAAUUGCACAAAGAAGACAAAAUUAGAUUACAGGCAGUCUCGAUUCAACAACUUGUUCUCCAGUGAUAUUGAAGGCUUUGAAGACGAAUGACUAGAAGCAGGUUUGACAAUACAAUUCAAUGACGAUAUCUGAAAUUUCAACUUCUAACAAUCUUAUGCUCAUUUUAUAAUGAGAGAUAAAUAUUUCAAAAUAAAACCUGAACUUAAAUUUUACAAUACCAAACCUAAACUAUACAAAUCAUUAAAAUUCAUAAAGAAACUGAAUUAUGUUUUUUGGUUUCUCAAGAAACUGACCUAGCCUUUUGUAAUUUCACUGUUUCCUGGUGCUGUUUUUGAAGAUGCACAAAGUGAUUAUAUUUCUGCUGCCUUACAUUGAAAUGAAGAAACUUUUCAUAUAAAAUUAGGAUUUAAUUAAUCAUCUAAUAAACUUUAGUUUUAUAUAUGGCUUCAUUGGCUUCUGUGGAAUAGUUGUAUAUUGCACAUAAAAUGAAUCGUAGAGAGAAAUUUUACACCUAUGACUUCAAGUUUUUUAACUAUAAUUUACAAAUUUUGUUUGUAAAAACUGAAUGCAUAAACUCAUUUUAUUUCAUAAGAUUAGCCAUUUUCUUUGAACAACUCAUUUGCAGGUAUAUCUACAGAAACAAAUAAAACUAUGAGCAUAAAUUUAUCACAGUUUUUAGGAGUAAUUUGUUAAAACAGUGCACAAUUGACAUUGUAAAGCCUUAAAAUUUAGUGUCUGAUUUAAAAUUAUCCCCAAGGGCAAAGCACAAUUUACUGCCCAGGCCCACACUUUUUUUUUUGUGGAAAACUUAUGUCAAGUGUAUUUAAUAACACAAAACAUUGACCCAUAAGAAAUACGUUGAACCCAUUAAACACAAUGUUAAAGAUGGAAAAGUCAAUGCUACUACCACAAUACCAUGAACUAUUCAAUAUUACCAGCAUUACCACCACUUUCACUGAUGCAGCCACCACCAUUACUAUCACCUAAACCACGAUGGCUACCACAUGCCUGGAGCAUCAUCAUCAUUACAUCAUAAGAUAUAUGAGUUGAAAACUGAUAUAGGCAUUCUUGAUUGACUACAUUCAUCAAUCUAAAUUAGAUUUUGUGGAUAAUAUCAUUAUUUGAAUGUGGACUUGAAAUGCCUAAAAAAAGAUCUAACAUCUGAUCCAGUUCUUAUCAACCACAUACAUGAAUGCAAUCUUUAUGCAGGAAUCUAAUUAAUUAAAUAAUGAGCUGACAUACAUUCAAACAAUUUAAACUAAAAUCAUGUCCUG
Molecule: unclassified non-coding RNA, 2700 nt
Filed under: Hevea brasiliensis (rubber tree)
Lineage: Eukaryota; Viridiplantae; Streptophyta; Magnoliopsida; Malpighiales; Euphorbiaceae
Source: RNAcentral